AAAUAAAGUGCAGUUCCCCUUUAAGAAGAACAUACGAAUAUACACGGAAAGUCAGGCAGAAGAAUAUGCGAUGAGAGGCGGUGAGAUGCAGAAGCGACUGACAUCCUGUGUCCUCCUCUCCAGGAAUUACACGCCUCCAGCAAGGGUGAAGGGUGAAACACUGCGAUCAACAACAUGGCGGCUAAUCUUGGUGCUACUGUAUCUUCACCACGACAAUCAAAGAUUGUCAAAACAGCUUGAAGAUGACCUUCUUCUUCAACUCUUGCCUCAUCAAUAACACAUCUCCACAUUGGUGGGCGGUAUAGCUCGGUUGGUAGAGUGGCCGUGCCAGCAACUUGAGGGUUCCAGGUUUGAUCCCCGCUUCAGCCAUCCUAGUCACUGCUGUUGUGUCCUUGGGCAAGACACUUUACCCACCUGCUCCCAGUGCCACCCACACUGGUUUAAAUCUAACUUAGAUAUUGGGUUUCACUAUGUAAAAGCGCUUUGCGUACCUAGAGCAGGGGUGUCAAACUCAAAUACAGAGUGGGCCAAAAUUUAAAACUGAACAAAGCCGCGGGCCAAUAGGGACACAAACAAGUUUUGCACUGAAUAUUGAACAAGCAAGGUGUAUAUAACUUUAUAGUGACAUGCAAAAUCGAGUUUCAAAUAAUAAUAAUUAAAAAAUAUCAAUGGCAUAUCAAAUACAAUUUAAAUAAAAAUGUAAUGCCUCUUUUCUAUUUGAAGCUUUCUGAGGUAAAUAUCAACUUUAACUUUUUCCACAGGCUAAUAAAUUUGAAAAUAAAAUAAUGAAUAAACCAACCAUUCAGGACUUUAAACUGCUCAGUUUGCAACACACUCUAAUCUGAUGUGCCUAAGCCAGAUACCUGUCAUCUUUUCUUGGAUGCUAGUUCAUUAAUGUCGGGGCAACCUUCAUUAUCGAACGAAGGUGUUCAUCAGUCAUUAUAUCUCGUAGUCCACCCGGACCACAGUCUUGGGGGCGUGCCUUGAAGGCACUGCCUUUAACGUCCUCUACGAGCUGUCGUCACGUCCGCUUUUCAUCCAUUCUAACAACGUGCCGGCCCAGUCACAAGAUAUGUGCGGCUUCCGUACGCACACA
Entelurus aequoreus (snake pipefish) is the source of this 1096-nucleotide long non-coding RNA. RefSeq lists it as uncharacterized. The transcript is spliced from 3 exons. Lineage: Eukaryota; Metazoa; Chordata; Actinopteri; Syngnathiformes; Syngnathidae. The record is from RefSeq and is a predicted model, not a curated record.